GGGGAUAUGGCUCAGUGGUAGAGCUCUUGCCUAGCAUAUUCAAGCUCUAGGUUCAAUCCCUAGUACCACCA
Molecule: transfer RNA, 71 nt
Filed under: Urocitellus parryii (Arctic ground squirrel)
Lineage: Eukaryota; Metazoa; Chordata; Mammalia; Rodentia; Sciuridae
Also listed under: 2 other names
Description: Spermophilus parryii (Arctic ground squirrel) tRNA
Rfam family: tRNA
About the family: Transfer RNA (tRNA) molecules are approximately 80 nucleotides in length.
Source: Rfam by way of RNAcentral